Molecule: ribosomal RNA, 1845 nt
Filed under: Escherichia coli
Lineage: Bacteria; Pseudomonadati; Pseudomonadota; Gammaproteobacteria; Enterobacterales; Enterobacteriaceae
Description: partial 23S ribosomal RNA
Rfam family: Bacterial large subunit ribosomal RNA
Source: RNAcentral
GGUUAAGCGACUAAGCGUACACGGUGGAUGCCCUGGCAGUCAGAGGCGAUGAAGGACGUGCUAAUCUGCGAUAAGCGUCGGUAAGGUGAUAUGAACCGUUAUAACCGGCGAUUUCCGAAUGGGGAAACCCAGUGUGAUUCGUCACACUAUCAUUAACUGAAUCCAUAGGUUAAUGAGGCGAACCGGGGGAACUGAAACAUCUAAGUACCCCGAGGAAAAGAAAUCAACCGAGAUUCCCCCAGUAGCGGCGAGCGAACGGGGAGCAGCCCAGAGCCUGAAUCAGUGUGUGUGUUAGUGGAAGCGUCUGGAAAGGCGCGCGAUACAGGGUGACAGCCCCGUACACAAAAAUGCACAUACUGUGAGCUCGAUGAGUAGGGCGGGACACGUGGUAUCCUGUCUGAAUAUGGGGGGACCAUCCUCCAAGGCUAAAUACUCCUGACUGACCGAUAGUGAACCAGUACCGUGAGGGAAAGGCGAAAAGAACCCCGGCGAGGGGAGUGAAAAAGAACCUGAAACCGUGUACGUACAAGCAGUGGGAGCACAGAGCAAUCUGUGUGACUGCGUACCUUUUGUAUAAUGGGUCAGCGACUUAUAUUCUGUAGCAAGGUUAACCGAAUAGGGGAGCCGAAGGGAAACCGAGUCUUAACUGGGCGUUAAGUUGCAGGGUAUAGACCCGAAACCCGGUGAUCUAGCCAUGGGCAGGUUGAAGGUUGGGUAACACUAACUGGAGGACCGAACCGACUAAUGUUGAAAAAUUAGCGGAUGACUUGUGGCUGGGGGUGAAAGGCCAAUCAAACCGGGAGAUAGCUGGUUCUCCCCGAAAGCUAUUUAGGUAGCGCCUCGUGAAUUCAUCUCCGGGGGUAGAGCACUGUUUCGGCAAGGGGGUCAUCCCGACUUACCAACCCGAUGCAAACUGCGAAUACCGGAGAAUGUUAUCACGGGAGACACACGGCGGGUGCUAACGUCCGUCGUGAAGAGGGAAACAACCCAGACCGCCAGCUAAGGUCCCAAAGUCAUGGUUAAGUGGGAAACGAUGUGGGAAGGCCCAGACAGCCAGGAUGUUGGCUUAGAAGCAGCCAUCAUUUAAAGAAAGCGUAAUAGCUCACUGGUCGAGUCGGCCUGCGCGGAAGAUGUAACGGGGCUAAACCAUGCACCGAAGCUGCGGCAGCGACGCUUAUGCGUUGUUGGGUAGGGGAGCGUUCUGUAAGCCUGCGAAGGUGUGCUGUGAGGCAUGCUGGAGGUAUCAGAAGUGCGAAUGCUGACAUAAGUAACGAUAAAGCGGGUGAAAAGCCCGCUCGCCGGAAGACCAAGGGUUCCUGUCCAACGUUAAUCGGGGCAGGGUGAGUCGACCCCUAAGGCGAGGCCGAAAGGCGUAGUCGAUGGGAAACAGGUUAAUAUUCCUGUACUUGGUGUUACUGCGAAGGGGGGACGGAGAAGGCUAUGUUGGCCGGGCGACGGUUGUCCCGGUUUAAGCGUGUAGGCUGGUUUUCCAGGCAAAUCCGGAAAAUCAAGGCUGAGGCGUGAUGACGAGGCACUACGGUGCUGAAGCAACAAAUGCCCUGCUUCCAGGAAAAGCCUCUAAGCAUCAGGUAACAUCAAAUCGUACCCCAAACCGACACAGGUGGUCAGGUAGAGAAUACCAAGGCGCUUGAGAGAACUCGGGUGAAGGAACUAGGCAAAAUGGUGCCGUAACUUCGGGAGAAGGCACGCUGAUAUGUAGGUGAAGUCCCUCGCGGAUGGAGCUGAAAUCAGUCGAAGAUACCAGCUGGCUGCAACUGUUUAUUAAAAACACAGCACUGUGCAAACACGAAAGUGGACGUAUACGGUGUGACGCCUGCCCGGUGC